UUGGAAUUCUACAAAAUGUCGGGUGUAGUACCCACAGCCCCUGAACAGCCUGCAGGUGAAAUGGAAAAUCAGACAAAACCACCAGAUCCAAGGCCUGAUGCCCCUCCUGAAUACAGUUCUCAUUUUGUACCAGGACCCCCUGGAACAACUGUCCCUCCAGAUGCAGGCUACCCAGGAGGCUUGCCUAUGGCAUACUACAGUCCACAGCAACCCGGGACCUUCCCUUCGUACCAGCCAAUUGGUGGUACCCAUCCUGUCUGUUAUCAGCCUGGAAAAUAUCCUGUGCCAAGUCAGCCUGUUCCAGUAACAUGGAUGCCAGGGCCAACUCCUAUGGCUAACUGCCCUCCUGGUCUGGAAUACUUAGUUCAGUUGGACAACAUACAUGUUCUUCAGCAUUUUGAGCCUCUGGAAAUGAUGACACAUUUUGAAACUAAUAAUAGAUAUGAUAUUAAAAACAACUCAGACCAAAUGGUUUACAUUGUAACUGAAGACACAGAUGACUUUACCAGGAAUGCCUAUCGGACACUAAGGCCCUUCGUCCUCCGGGUCACUGAUUGUAUGGGCCGAGAAAUCAUGACAAUGCAGAGACCCUUCAGAUGUACCUGCUGUUGCUUCUGUUGCCCAUCUGCCAGACAAGAGCUGGAGGUACAGUGUCCUCCUGGUGUCACCCUUGGCUUUGUUGCAGAACACUGGAACCUGUGCAGGGCAGUGUACAGCAUCCAAAAUGAGAAGAAAGAAAAUAUGAUGAGAGUGCGUGGGCCAUGCUCAACGUAUGGCUGUGGUUCUGAUUCUGUUUUUGAGGUCAAAUCCCUUGAUGGUGUAUCCAACAUCGGCAGUAUUAUCCGGAAGUGGAAUGGCUUGCUGUCAGCAAUGGCAGAUGCUGACCAUUUUGACAUUCACUUCCCAUUAGACCUGGAUGUGAAGAUGAAAGCCAUGAUUUUUGGUGCUUGCUUCCUCAUUAGGAAGAGCAAACCUCAUCAAGAGGUGAUCGUACAAGAAGAUGAAGUGCUAUAAGGAGUUUCUUUCCCUGCUAUACUUGUAAUGAAGGAAAACCAAAGAGUUGAAUAAAAGCUUCCACAUUCAGUCUCUUCUUAUCCAGCUCUACUACCCAAGAAACUCAUGCUUUUCCAGCCCAAGCCAGCCAAGUCAUGAAACAUCCAAGUUAACCUCUUACUCCCUGGACUUGGAAACCUUUUGUUGUUUCUGUUUGUUCUGAAGCCCUGGGUCCAUGCUCAGAGGAUUAAAUUGUUCUUUACAUUGAACUCCAAUUAAUAGUUUUCUUGUCUGGAACUCAGGCAGUUUUAAACCAUGGCCAAAAAUUAUUUGACACUACUCCUAGCGAGAGAUGGGGGUCUUUGUUCCCUCCCCUUGAAUAUAGCUAGUCUUGUGAUUGUGACUGUUUCAACCAGGUGAGCGUGAUGGAAACGACAGUGUGGCUUAUGAAGCUAAGAUAUGAAUGGCAGUGCAGUUUCAAGCUUGUUCCUGGGACACUCACUGUUGGAGCUCUAAGCCACCAUGUAAAGCCUGAACACCUUGAAGCUGUCUGCUGUGAAUUAGCUCAGGCUCCCUGGAGAGACUAUGCAUAGGCACUGAGCCCCACCAUGAGUGAAUGAGCCUUCAGCUGAUUCCAGCUCUUUCAGUUUUUGCUCGGCCUUUGAAUCUUCCUGGCUGAUGCCACAGACAAGGAGAAGCAGGGUGAAGCUGUUUUUACUGUGCAUUUUCUGAAUUCCUGAGGCCAGACUCUGUGAGCUUAAUAAAAUGGUGGUUGUAAGUGGCACUGCCAGAUUUUGGGGUGAUUUGUUACACAGCAAUAGUAACCAAAACAGGAUAUUUGAAUCCAACUUGAGCCAGACUUCUUAAAAAUGACUGAAGUCAGCUAUUUUUUUCUGUGGUCCUGGAGCUAAAUGCAACUAUUCUCUCAGGCUAACAUGCUCUUCCCAAAUGUUCCAUUAACUCAAGCAGCCUGAAGGAGGAACUGCUUCCUAUCACAGAUAUGCUCAAGGAGGCCCUAUACAUAGUUAGAGAUUUCUCUUGGUAAGUCAUAUCCUUAUAUGUGAAACUUCUGGAUCCUGGGAUUAAAGAACUCAAUUUGCUUUGCUUUCCACUUUCUAGAAAUUUUCUUACUUCUUAAAAAGCGUGAAUGAGCUUGUCUCCUGGUCCAAUUUGGAUUUAGCCGAAGACUCUAACCUGAAUGUUUUCUUCAUCAGGACCUAAGGACACAAACACCCUGAAUGUGAGACGCCAGAAGGGAGGACAAAGUAAAGGUAGACAACAUGAAUAUAAAUUGAAAGCACAGGAGAAAAAUCAGAACUAAAAGGAAAUGUUAAUAUAUAUAUAUAUAUAUAUAUAUAUAUCAUUCUUUUUCAUUUACUGUGUGCCAUUAUGUUACAUGUAUGAUGUCAUCUCGACAUAACAGUUCUAAUGAUGUAGGUAUUUUAUUAUACCCAUGAUAAAAGGAGGCCUGUAUCUUUCUUAAGGUGGGCAGAGCUUAUAGUUGUACAUAUUAGUCUCACACCAGAUCCUGCUCUCUUAAUCUUUAGGCCCUAUAGUCUAGAAAUAAUCAAACUUAAUUUUAUACUAAUAUUAAAGUGUUAUUUGCCUUUUUUCAACUCUCAUUAUCCCAUGAGUAUGUGGGGGAAUUUUCCAGCAUAUAUUUGGAAGCCGUACAUACCUGAGUCAAUAUAUUAGAAACUUUCAAUGCACAAAGUUACAAAAUGAUGUGAAAGAUCCACUCAAAGUGCUAUAUACAUGAAUGGAUUUUAAUGCAACAGAGUACCAAAUACAGAUUUCACAUCACAAGUAACCCUUCCGAAACUCACUUUUCAAAUUUUGGUAUGUCAUCAAAGAAGACUAUCCACAAUGAUCUGAAAAGGCUGUUAAAAUAAUCCUGUCUAGUUUUUUUGUUGUUGUUGUUGUUACAUAUUUGUAUGAGGCUAGAUUUCUUCAUAUACUUCAAAAACCCCACAAGGAAUUAAACACAGAAGAUAUGAGCAUAGCAGUGUCCUGUUAACCCAAAUAUUAAAGAAAUUUGCCAUUCUUUUUACUAAAUGUUUUGUUAUAAAAAUAUAGUUAUUUUGGCUAUGUUAUUGAUGUUACCAUGUUAGCAUUGUUAUUUUAAAAUGAAUAAAUUUUAUUUAAAUAUCUGUUUUAAGUUUGAA
Molecule: RNA transcript, 3158 nt
Organism: Sapajus apella (tufted capuchin)
Lineage: Eukaryota; Metazoa; Chordata; Mammalia; Primates; Cebidae
Gene: PLSCR4
Gene name: phospholipid scramblase 4
Exons: 9
Source: RefSeq, a predicted model, not a curated record